Molecule: ribosomal RNA, 541 nt
Filed under: Trichoderma atroviride
Lineage: Eukaryota; Fungi; Ascomycota; Sordariomycetes; Hypocreales; Hypocreaceae
Description: eukaryotic LSU rRNA
Rfam family: 5.8S ribosomal RNA (bases 151-304)
Source: RNAcentral
ACCAAACUGUUGCCUCGGCGGGGUCACGCCCCGGGUGCGUCGCAGCCCCGGAACCAGGCGCCCGCCGGAGGGACCAACCAAACUCUUUUCUGUAGUCCCCUCGCGGACGUUAUUUCUUACAGCUCUGAGCAAAAAUUCAAAAUGAAUCAAAACUUUCAACAACGGAUCUCUUGGUUCUGGCAUCGAUGAAGAACGCAGCGAAAUGCGAUAAGUAAUGUGAAUUGCAGAAUUCAGUGAAUCAUCGAAUCUUUGAACGCACAUUGCGCCCGCCAGUAUUCUGGCGGGCAUGCCUGUCCGAGCGUCAUUUCAACCCUCGAACCCCUCCGGGGGGUCGGCGUUGGGGACCUCGGGAGCCCCUAAGACGGGAUCCCGGCCCCGAAAUACAGUGGCGGUCUCGCCGCAGCCUCUCCUGCGCAGUAGUUUGCACAACUCGCACCGGGAGCGCGGCGCGUCCACGUCCGUAAAACACCCAACUUCUGAAAUGUUGACCUCGGAUCAGGUAGGAAUACCCGCUGAACUUAAGCAUAUCAAUAAGCGGAGG